RNAcentral lists this ribosomal RNA (812 nucleotides) under uncultured fungus. RNAcentral's name for it is "eukaryotic LSU rRNA". It matches the Rfam family "Eukaryotic large subunit ribosomal RNA", at positions 24 to 664 of the family's 3401-position model. Lineage: Eukaryota; Fungi. The record is from RNAcentral.
CCCGCUGAACUUAAGCAUAUUAUUAAGCGGAGGAAAAGAAACUAACAAGGAUGCCCUCAGUAACGGCGAGUGAAGCGGGAAAAGCUCAACCUGAAAAUCUGGCUCCUUAGCGGGAGUCCGAAUUGUGGGCUAGAGAUGUAUGAUCAGUGUGUGACCUGGGCAUAAAUCUUUUGAAACAAGGUAUCAGAGAGGGUGAGAAUCCCGUCUUUGACCUGGAGUUCGCCGCGUACGAUCUACAUUCAUAGAGUCGAGUUGCUUGGGACUGCAGCUCUAAGUUAGGUGGUAAGUUUCAUCUAAAGCUAAAUAUCAAUGAGAGACCGAUAGCGAACAAGUACCGUGAGGGAAAGAUGAAAAGAACUUUGAAAAGAGAGUUAAAAAGUACCUGAAACUGCUAAGAGGUAAGCGCUGGAAACCAGUCGAUGGCUAGGAUGUAUUUGAACUUCUGCUUCCCAAUUGUGUUAGACUAGGAGACCCCAAAGGCUUCCUUAACAUAUACAAGAGGGUGCGGUUGUGCACUGUACUCUUGGCCGAGUCAGGAUCAGUUUGAUUCGUGGGAGAAAGCUAUGACAACGGUAGGUUCGCGGGGGCAACUCUAAGGACUGUCUAGUGUUGUAGUGCUACCAUGGGUUAGACUGAGGUACAAGCCGAAUUGCGCACCUUCGGGUUUGUAGGUCUUUCUUCCCUAGUCGUUUAGAAUGCUUGGACAACAAAGUUGUGCGGUGUUCGAAAGCUUCUACUGGUUGAUUUGACUUAGCAGCUGCAGUCGAGAUUGUCUGACGAAAUGGUUUUCAUCGACCCGUCUUGAAACACGG